Bactrocera tryoni is the source of this 4307-nucleotide RNA transcript. It is a transcript of the gene named transcription elongation regulator 1, with no coding region annotated. Lineage: Eukaryota; Metazoa; Arthropoda; Insecta; Diptera; Tephritidae. The record is from RefSeq and is a predicted model, not a curated record. The transcript has 6 exons.
UUUUUUCUUGAAAAGUGUGUGAAUACUUUGUCUAAGAGAAGUAUUUUCUGAAUUUAAGUAAGAAAAGGUUAUUUAUUAUUCAAGUUUAGUGACUAUGGACGCUGAAGUCGAAGGCAGCGUUGAAAAUAAUGUACAAUCUGGCGACGAAGCGGCUUCACCAUCUAAAGAUGGUGCGCCUGGGCCUUCUCAGGAAAACAAUUCAACCCCUAAUAUAAAUGGAAAUGCGGGACAAGCAACGCCAGAUACAAGCGAAGGCGAAUCUCAAUGGACUCCAAACAAUCAAAGUGCUGUUGCUGCUAAACCUUUUAGUAUGCCGCCAUUUGGUGGACCACCCGGAUCUUUCCGUGGUGGACGAGGAGGUAUUCAUAUAAUGCCUUUUGGUCGCGGUGGUGCUCGAGGGGGUGGCGGCAAUUUUGGCGGACGCGGGCCGGGAAACUUUGAUCCGAAUUGGCAGGGACAAAAUCAAAAUGGCCCACCAAAUAUGACAAACGGGCCACCACUCGAACUGUGGGUGGAGACUAAGACAGAUGAUGGCAAAUCUUAUUUUUAUCACGCCAUGACACGUGAAACAACAUGGACUAGACCAGAAGGUCAAAAUAUUAAAGUUAUGACUCAAGCAGAAAUUGAGGAAGUGAAUAAAAAACAGCAACCACCUCAGCAGCAAACUCAACAGAAUAACGCACAGCUUGCGGAUGCAAAUGUUAAAGGGCCAGAGCCGGGUGGUCACGCUCAAGGUGGCAUGAUAGAUGCGCAAAAGGAGUUACCCCCCAUGUCGGUUGCUCCACCCAUGAAAGCACCAGAUACAUUGACGCAACAUCCACCACCAAAUAUGAUGUCACAACCACCACCCACACAACAGACCUUGACGCAGCCACCACCAAAUGUAGUACCAAGCGGUGCGCCACCAAUGACACAACAGCCUCCACCUGCAAUGCACCAACAGCCACCUCCAUUCUUUCCACCUGGUAUGCAUCCACCGAAUUUCUCGCAAACUCCAUUUGGAAUGCCUCCUCCUGGUUAUGGUGGUUUUCCUGGUGGACCAGCACCUUGGGGUAUGCCCUGGAAUCAGCACAUGCAUCCACCACACGGUCCGCCGGUGCAAGACAAACCGGCAAAAAAUUUAAUUAUAAAACCUGGUGUAAUUGAUCCUGCUGUAAUUGCACGCGCUGCUGAAUGGUCCGAACAUCGUGCACCUGACGGACGUCCCUAUUACUAUCAUGCCGGUCGCGGCGAGAGCGUUUGGGAGAAACCACAAGCGUUACGCGACAUGGAAGCAGCACGAAUGGCUGCUCAUUCGGGGACAACACCGCAACAGGCAGUGGCGCCCCAAGUCGCACCCACCAUGCCACCACACAUGAUGCCCAAUCCUGCACUUAUGCACAUGACGCCGGCAGCCGGCGGUUAUGAACAGGCUAUGGCAUACAAUGCUGCUGCUGCCGCAGCCGCAGCCGCCGCCGCUGCAGCAGCUGCUGCCAAUCUUAAACCCAUCGAACAAACCAAAGCGGCGCAAGCUGCGGCACUGGAAAAAGAAUCCAGGAAGGUGGCAGAGGAAAAACGAAAGAAAGAGGAGGAGCAACAAAAGAAAGUUACGGCAACAGCAGCAAAACCAGUAGAUAAAUCACGUCCUAUUUCAAGUACUCCCAUUGCUGGUACACCAUGGUGUGUCGUUUGGACAGGUGACGCGAGGGUUUUUUUCUAUAAUCCUUCCACACGCACAUCUGUUUGGGAAAGACCCGACGAUUUGAUAGACCGUGCCGACGUAGACAAAGCAGUCAACAAUCCGCCGGAGCAGUUAAAGGCUGCUGGUAGUGUCGCUGCGGAGAAACAGGUCGAAAAGAUUGAGACAGAGAAGAAAAAAGAGGUUGAAAUUCCCGAGGAAGAGGAAGAAGAAGAGCAAGAAGAUGAUGAAGUUAUCAAAAUACGCACUGAAUCUGAAUCCAGUGUGGAAGAAGUACCAACGAAGAAGUCCCGAUUAUCCGCAAAGCAAACCAGGAAGGCGGAUGCCAACGAAGCAGCCGUAGAAGCCGAGGUACGCGCGGCUAAGGAGCGUGCUGUAGUGCCAUUGGAGACACGUGUCAAACAGUUCAAAGAAAUGUUGCGUGAAAAAGAUGUAUCAGCAUUCAGCACUUGGGAGAAGGAGCUACACAAAAUUGUUUUCGAUCCACGUUACUUGUUGCUAACCUCCAAAGAGCGCAAACAGGUGUUUGAAAAGUACGUUAAAGAUCGCGCCGAAGAGGAACGCAAGGAGAAGCGCAAUAAGAUGCGUCAAAAGCGCGAAGAUUUUCGCAAGCUUAUGGAAGAUGCAAAGCUGCAUGGAAAGUCCUCAUUCAGUGAGUUUUGUCAGCGUUAUGGCAAAGAUGACCGCUAUAAAGCUAUCGAAAAGGUGCGCGAACGUGAGAGCCUCUUUAACGAAUAUAUUGUAGAUGUGCGUCGUCAAGAAAAAGAGGAGAAAAUACAAAAAAAGGAACAGGUAUGUGCGUGUUCCCUUAAAUGCAUGCGGGCCGAGAAUGCGUUUGUUAGCUUAGUUAAUUUGGGUUUUGGGCCGCAGCAAACGUACUUCUUAUUUAAAUAUUUAGUAAUUCGUAUUUUUAAAUGAUUAAUUGAAUUUUUCAUACGUCUCUAUUUGUAUAUACACUUAUUAUAUUGUUAAUGCUUCACAGCAAAGUUUAUACUUUUUAUUUUUUAUAAAAAUUUUCUUCACUCUAAUCUUGAAAUCUCAAAACAAAUCAAACAAAAAAAUCUACCACUACUACUUCAACGCUUAUAAAUAUCGGCUAAACUACGCACGAACAACAAAUUGUCAACCAACUACAAAAAAACAUAGUCAAUUGCAACCAAUCAUGUGAUUAUAGGUCAGCUGCUUGAAGUGUGUUUAAAGCGAAUAUUAUUUUGCUUUGCCGUGUAAAAGUUGGUUGACGUAGAAAAAAAGCAAAAUUGCUAAAUAUCGUUUUUAGGCAGCAGUAUAAACGUAAGGAAAACGCAGCAAAUAAUAUGUAGCAGCGUAACGUGUGACUGAUUGAUAAUUCAUGGUCAUCCAGCUGCCAACGACCGCAUCAAAUUGCAUUGAUCCGCCAGGCAACCAUGUCCAUCCUACUACUACCACCCAUCAACCCAGUGACUUGCCUGUUCGUUAGUACCUUCACGCCUGCUCGGCACGUUUUCCCCAAAUUGUUUGUGUCUAUCUAGCUCGAGCUCGUGAUCAACGUUGACUUCAUUAAACAAACAGCAAACAAAUGCAAAUUAUUGUAUAUCAACGAUAAAACUUGGUGAUUUACCCUUCUGCCACCAGGAACGUCGGCACGUCACAUGUUACAUAUUGAAGCUAUUUGGAUGCGCACAGACAAAUGGUGUAUAUUGAUGGAGGGAAAACGCAAUGGACACAUAGAAGACGUAACGGCAUUAGGCAGACGACAAGACAUGCCAAACUCCCAACAGCUGGCAGUUUAGUUAAUGUUGGCGCUCGAGUCUCCAGUCUCUGGUCUCUGAGUGUGGCAGAGCUUGAACUAGAGCGGGAGUGGGAGUUGAGCGAGAAGAGACAGAAACAGUAUGAAUAAAAACUCAAUCUAAACUUCAUACAUUUAGAAUUUUUGUUACAGCCGCAAGUGCAAUAAGCAUUUCAAAAUUCGAUAUUUCACAUUCGUGCCAGAAGUGCAUAUUUUGAAUAUAUAUAUAUAAUAGAUUUUUUUGCUAGUAAAUCAUAAUCUAUGGCACGUGACACUUAUUACCAUUUCAAAAAUGUCAAACGAAUGUGAAAUAUUGACUUUUACUGACGGGCUUUACUUGUAAGUUCAUAAAGUAAAGCAUUCAAUACAUUAUCUAUAUGUAUUCUUAUUAUAUAACACACGUACAUGUCAUUGUUGUCCGUCCGUCCGUCCGUCGACAAAGUGCCCAUACACAUUGCUUCUCUAAUUUAUGACAAUAAUAUUUUUAAUUUUCAGCUCUACACUGUUGGAUUCUCAUAAUUAAGUCAUCAAUAAAUUUCUGUUUCAGCAUUCGACGCCAUUUAAUUAUACUACUAAUCUUGAAACUUCUCUUGCAGCAUAAUUAAUUAUAAUUAUUAUUUAAGUUAUGAUUGUCGACUAUUAAGUUAGUUAGUAAGCGUCAUCUAUAAGCCCCUGUUAUGUGCCUAUAAAAUUAUGGUGUAAGCUAAAACGAAAGCCAAUGCCUGAAAUAGUCUAAUUCUCCAUAUUUGUUUUCUCUCUUUGUAUCUUCCUGACUGCACUUGCUACAUUUAUCCAAAUGCACAUCCCAAAACACAAACUACGUACCUCUAACAAAUUUUAGAUACGCAAAGAUUUCAUAGAAAU